ACCGCCAUCCACAUUGAAAACUCCGGUUCUCGCUCGAUCAUCGAAGUUAAGCAAUGUUGGCUGGUCAAUAUUGGAGAAGGGGACCACACAAUGCUGAAGGCU
This is a non-coding RNA of Cordylochernes scorpioides, 102 nucleotides long. Lineage: Eukaryota; Metazoa; Arthropoda; Arachnida; Pseudoscorpiones; Chernetidae. The record is from the annotation of a GenBank genome assembly.